UGGGGAAUAUUGGACAAUGGGGGCAACCCUGAUCCAGCAAUGCCGCGUGUGUGAAGAAGGUCUUCGGAUUGUAAAGCACUUUCGACGGGGACGAUGAUGACGGUACCCGUAGAAGAAGCCCCGGCUAACUUCGUGCCAGCAGCCGCGGUAAUACGAAGGGGGCUAGCGUUGCUCGGAAUGACUGGGCGUAAAGGGCGUGUAGGCGGUUUACACAGUCAGAUGUGAAAUCCCCGGGCUUAACCUGGGAGCUGCAUUUGAUACGUGUAGACUAGAGUGUGAGAGAGGGUUGUGGAAUU
RNAcentral lists this ribosomal RNA (296 nucleotides) under uncultured bacterium. RNAcentral describes it as "partial 16S ribosomal RNA". It matches the Rfam family "Bacterial small subunit ribosomal RNA", at positions 355 to 668 of the family's 1533-position model. The record is from RNAcentral.